GUGGGGAAUAUUGGACAAUGGGCGAAAGCCUGAUCCAGCAAUGCCGCGUGAGUGAUGAAGGCCUUAGGGUUGUAAAGCUCUUUUACCAGGGAUGAUAAUGACAGUACCUGGAGAAUAAGCUCCGGCUAACUCCGUGCCAGCAGCCGCGGUAAUACGGAGGGAGCUAGCGUUGUUCGGAAUUACUGGGCGUAAAGCGCACGUAGGCGGUUACUCAAGUCAGAGGUGAAAGCCCGGGGCUCAACCCCGGAACUGCCUUUGAAACUAGGUAACUGGAAUCUUGGAGAGGUCAGUGGAAUUCCGAGUGUAGAGGUGAAAUUCGUAGAUAUUCGGAAGAACACCAGUGGCGAAGGCGACUGACUGGACAAGUAUUGACGCUGAGGUGCGAAAGCGUGGGGAGCAAACAGGAUUAGAAACCCCAGUAGUCC
RNAcentral lists this ribosomal RNA (425 nucleotides) under uncultured bacterium. RNAcentral's name for it is "partial 16S ribosomal RNA". It matches the Rfam family "Bacterial small subunit ribosomal RNA", at positions 354 to 796 of the family's 1533-position model. The record is from RNAcentral.